Varibaculum cambriense DORA_20 is the source of this 349-nucleotide non-coding RNA. It matches the Rfam family "Bacterial RNase P class A". Rfam says of the family: Ribonuclease P (RNase P) is a ubiquitous endoribonuclease, found in archaea, bacteria and eukarya as well as chloroplasts and mitochondria. The record is from Rfam. Lineage: Bacteria; Bacillati; Actinomycetota; Actinomycetes; Actinomycetales; Actinomycetaceae.
UCAGUCGGCCGGGCGGCCGCGGCUAGCGAUAGUCGAGGAAAGUCCGGGCUCCACAGGACAGGAUGAUGGCUAACAGCCACCCGGGGUGACCCGCGGGCUAGUGCCGCAGAAAAUAUACCGCCACGCCUCGCGUGGUAAGGGUGAAAAGGCGGUGUAAGAGACCACCAGUGGUCAAGGUGACUUGGCCAGCUAGGUAAACCCCAUCCGGAGCAAGACCAAGCAGCAAGUUGGGUGGUCCGCUUUUAACUUGCGGGUAGGUUGCUAAAGGCAUGCGGUAACGCAGGUCUCAGAUAGAUGGUCGCCGCUGGCUUAGCCAGUACAGAACCCGGCUUAUAGGCCGGCUGAUCUG